GGGAGGGGGAGCUCUGGAAAAGCAGGAGAAGGAGACAGAGGAGGAGAAACUGCAGACCUCAGACCAGCCCACCUCACCUCUGCGUCCUUUCUCUCCGUCUCCUGUGCCCGUAGUCAAAUCUGACCGCGGAUCAGCUCACUUACGGAGCCGUUACACACACACACACACACACACACAGCAAACUGGGACUCAGACCAGAGGAAACCGUGUUCGUCUGCAGCCAAGUACGCACGCCAAGCCGAGCCGAGCCGAGCCGAGCCAAGGAGACACAUCCAGAGCGGAGCGGCGGCAGCAGACGACCAACGGCGAGGGGAGCGGACGGACGGCUGCGAUAAGACGGAGCUGAGAAGGAGAAGUCUUUGAGGAGCAGACACACGGAGACAGACAGAGACAGAGACAGAGACAGCGGGGACCGGCAGCUGAAGUAGCACGCGCAGUUUUAAUUUGAACGUUUUCGGUUAUUUGGCGGUUGGUGAGUUCGUGCGCGAGCUAGCGGAAUGUAAUGCUAGCGAGCUAGCUGCUGUUAGCUCGCUAAUUAGCUCGUUUCAGGGAAUCGGACGUGUGAGCUUUUUUUUUAUUUUUAUUUUUUUAUAUAUAUAAAUGGAAAAUAGGUCACAGUAGAUUUUGACUUUAUAUCAGCGGUUUAUAAUAAUAAUAUUAAUAAUAAUAAUUCGUCGCUGCUGGUCAUAAUGUUCGAAUAGCUAACAGACAAGUUAGACAAUAAACAGCUCGGAGGAAAUCUGAGUUUAAUCAUCCGCUUUGUGUCAACACCGAGACUUUUUUUAUUAUUUCUCACUGGAGACUGUCUGCCGUCCGAUGUUAAUGUCGACCGACGUUGCAUCUAUAAUGCUGCCCGUUACUCGGGGAAUAAUGGACCGGGAGAGAGACAUUGAUACAGCAGCAGCGGCGGCGGCAGCCGGACCGGGGGGUUCAACAGCAGCAGCGGCGGCGGCGGCAGCAGCAGCAGCAGCUGCCCGCGGGAUGAAGCGAGGAGACCCGGAGCCCGACGCUCAGACAGCGGCUGCACUCACUGACUUAGCCGGGGCGGAGUGCAAAAGACCGAGGAUAGACGGAACCGGGAGUGUUGUUGUCGUCGGUGACAUCGGACAGAACAAUGAGCCUUUAAACCCUGGUUUCCAUGGAUACCCACCUCACAGUCAGGGCUCUCAGGAUUCGACAGGAGGACAGGAGGGAUUGGUGGCCCCACCCUUCUCAGCGUUCCCUCCUCCGCCCCCUCCUCAGAACGGGCUGCCAGGCACAGAGUUCGGCCCCGGGGCCAUGUUUGGUGCCGGGGGCCAGGGCACAGCAGAUGUAGGGGCUGGCGCUAACGGAGCCGCCGCCGCUACCACCAACAACAACGGCAACGUGAAGUCAGAGGAGACGCCCCAGGGCGAGGCAGGAGUACAGUGCGGUACAGGAGGCACGGGCGGAGGAGGCUCUGUCGGAGACCCCACAGAGGCCAAAGGGACCCCCAAACGCCUCCACGUCUCAAACAUCCCCUUCCGCUUCCGGGACCCUGACCUCAGGCAGAUGUUUGGGCAAUUUGGCAAGAUUCUGGAUGUAGAGAUUAUUUUCAAUGAGAGGGGUUCAAAGGGUUUUGGCUUUGUGACAUUCGAGACGAGCGCAGACGCAGAGAAAGCGAGGGAAAAGCUCCACGGCACAUUGGUGGAAGGUCGUAAGAUUGAGGUGAAUAACGCCACAGCCAGGGUGAUGACUAACAAGAAAAUGGUCAGCCCCUACCCUAACGGAGAGGCUCUCAGCACGCUGCCUUAUGCCGGGUGGAAAUUGAGUCCCAUGGUGGGGGCCGUGUACGGACCAGAGCUCUACGCAGUCCCAGGGUUUCCUUACCCCUCUGCAGCAGCAGCAGCCACCACAGCGGCGGCGGCGGCAUUUCGAGGCGCCCACCUCAGAGGCCGAGGCCGGCCCGUGUACAGCGCGGUGAGGGCCGCUGUGCCUCAGCCCGCCAUCCCCGCCUACCCUGGGGAGGCUAUCCUGCUGCUGCCGCCGCUGCCGCUGCCUAUCGCUACGCUCAGCCCGCGGCCGUAACCGGAGCAACCGCCGCGGCUGCCGCCUACAGUGACAGUUAUGGCCGAGUGUACACUACAGAUCCCUACCACGCUUUAACUCCAGCUGCUGCUGCUUACGGUGUGGGAGCCAUGGCCAGUUUAUACCGGGCGGGGUACAGUAGGUUUGCUCCUUACUAAAAAAACACAAAACAAAAAAAACGACAAAAAAAACACAAACCACAAAUCACACCCAAGGAAUUUCACAUCGCUCCAAAAACCUUUUUUCCGAGCUCUUUGUUUGGCAGCAGCUCCCCCUCCAUUUGUUUCUGCAGGGCGGACUCUAGUGACAGCUCAUGUGUUUUUUCUUUUCUUUCAUUGUGGGUUUUUUUUUUUUCUCUCCUCGUGGCGAGGGAAGGUCACUCUGCCACAUCAUCAACUCGAACUCUGUUUCUGUACUCUUCUCGUCUGUCGCCGACAUGGAAACAAUGACAAAACUGCCGCGAGUGUCUCCCCACCCACCCCUCAACAUAAAGAGCUGGAGCUGGAGCGUACUACUUUGAACUACGGGGGCACAACUGUGGACGGUUUUUAGAAAAAGAAAAAAAACACUACAGGACCUGGAAGUGAGAGUGAGAAAGAGAGAGAGAGAGAGAGAGUGCUGUUUCCUGUGUGAUCCUGCACACUACAAACCUUUUUGUUUUUGUUGAACUUACAGUAUAUCCACUGCCCUAUAAAGACAGACUUAUAUACACACACUUACACCAAGUAUAAGGUUUUUCCUCUUUAUGUUUUCCUUUUGCACAGAAUGAUGCCACAAAAAACAAAAAAGAAACAAAAGGUACUUUAUGUUUUUGAAACACUACAUAACGGCAGAGUCGUCCCUCUGCUCGCUGUAAUAAUGAAAACGUGAAUCAGACGAUAAGACGUAGGAAUUCUUCUUGUUUUCGUGAAGCCGGACGGGCACAUGGGAGCAUCUGACUGACAGAAAACCACUGUUGUCCUGGUAACAACACACUAUAAACAACACAAGCAUGGGAAGACGUCUCGUUUUUUUGUUUUUUUUGUCAUUUUACAACUUUCCCCUGAGUGUAAAAGGAAAUGUUUUUUUAAAAGAAAUACCAAGUGACUUUGUUUUUUUCUGCAUUACCUCAGUUUGUCUUUAUUUUGUUUUGCUGCCAUCGAUAAGAAGCUGCAUAGAAAUGUCAUUAUACACACACACGACACGGACGUGUUGGAUCUGUCCAUGUUUUCAGCGACGGAGCCGUUCACGCGUCCUUUUACUGCUGGUCUGCACAUAUUCCUUACUUCAUUACUGUAACCGCAACACUAAGAUGAGAGGGAAGCGUUCAGCUCCGGACUCGCAUGUCCAUUUAGAGAACUGAGCGCGACCCUCCGAGGCUCAUCCCCCUCGAAUCUGCUCACAGCGCUUCUUUCCAAUUCCAAAAAAGGACUCGCUUCAUUUCUUUUCUGUCUCCCUAAAAAACCCGUCAGACAUUCCAGCUGUGGCGGCCAUGCAGCGAAGGACGAAAAAGCAAACCCAUCCGACACACAGACGAACUUUAAGAUUUAGUGGGAAAAAGAAAAAGCGGGAACGCCCACACGGGGAACUAAUCAUCUGCCAGGCAGCGAAAUGGGAAUCCCUCCUGGCCUUAUUGAGAUAUUACGGCGCCUGCAGGCUUCAGGCAGGGCUGCUCUGUGCUCGAGACGUGUGUGUGUCUGAUCUCAGCUCAGCAGAACCCAACAGAACAAGCCCAGAUUAAAACACACACACAGUGCAGUCAUGAAAUGGAGGACUUUGAAGUAACCAGAAUUGAUCCGUCUUCUAUUUAUAUUCAUCGUUUUUAAAAAUGUGGCAGGACACGUCACACGCGUUAUGUCAUUUUUAAAUCUUUCAUCAUGCUCUCUGGGAUUGUUGGAAUAGUUUUGAAGUUGUCCUCACCAGUCUGUCUGAAGGCAUCACAAAAAUAAAAUGAAUCAAAUCGACUGGCAGCCAGACCAUUUCUAGACCAAGUCUUUGUCCUGUAUGUAUCACAUCUCCAUAUACUCUCACUACGUUGUUAUUCAUAUUGUUUGCCUUUUUUUGGUUCCAAAGAUUUUCUGAAGAAAGCACAUUUUUGAUGUAUUUCUUUAUUUGUUUGCGUUGCCUUUACUUUGUUUUAUAUGUGUUUUGUUUUUGUUUUGAAGCUGUGUUUUUCAGUACAACAAGCAGCACCCUGGGAAAUGUCAUCGAACCACACGUUUACAGCGUUUAAAAGGUCGCAGCAAACAAGAAUUAAAUUCAAUCCACACACACACACACACACACUACUAAUUUAUUGGUCUUUAUUUUUUAAUAGUCACUACACGAACAUGCAGAGGUGUUUGCUGCAGACAAGGGGAAUCCGAGCAGAUGGGAGUCAUGAGGGACACGCAGAAAAAGACACAGAGGAUGUUUUUGAAUUUUGCAGUUUUGCCGUUGGAGAAAAUUACAUGAGAAGUAAAUGGAGGGAAACGUCCACACAAUGUCAAAAGGGCCCUGUAGCCCAGCAGAGGCCACCUUUUUUUUUCCCCCUUCUCUUCUCUUUCUGUUGUUGAACAGUGAAACAAUGUGUGGGUGGUUAGUCCGGGGAUAUUGUGGCGGGUGAUGGUGAAGGUGAGAAGCUGAGCCAUUAAUCAUUAGCUGACAGGAUAACAACGUCCCCUGCUGUCUUUCUUUCUUUUUUUUUAAUACGGUGCGCUCAGGGUGGAGCGGACAGUGCGAGGAGGAGCUGUUUAGGGGAGGGGUGGGGUAAUGUUUUGUAUGAUUGUGAAUCACGUGUGCAGUAGGUCCAAUGAGUAUUUCUUUGACGCGCAUUACCUCUUUUUGUUUUGUUUUUUUGUCUUAUUAUUCCUUACAAGUAUUAUCAGAAGUGUUGCUAUGCAUGCUUUCGUGCAGGAGGAGGAGAGGGUGUCGGUCCGAGAAUCUUUUUCAUUUGUGCAUGAAUUCAAAAUCAUAGUGCUGGAGGAGGAGGAGGAGGAGGAGGAGGCUGAUGGCGGGGGGGGGGGGUUUACAUAGCAGCAGGAGAAGGAGAGAUCUGAUAUGAGGAGACAGGAGGAGCAGAGAGAGAAAAGCAAGUGGCCCCUCAGUUGAUUCGGGUCUUGCUUCAGUAAUCUGGUUUAUCUCUGCUCUGUGCCUCUGUGGUCGUCAUGGUAAUCAGCAGUCAUAUCAGAUGUGUAAAGUUUAAUUUGGUAUGUCUGGACCCCUGUGGUUUGCUUUGAUAAUGAUAUAUAUAUUAAAAACAACAACAACAACCCAGUGAUAAUUCAGCCUCAAGUUUAGUGAGUUCUUCUCUGCUUCAAGGCUGGUGCAGAGUAUUAUUAUGAAGCUGCCCACAUGAGAUGCUCAUUUAAGCAACAUCUCCACCUCACCAGCCUCUCUCUCUCUCUCUCUCUCUUGCAGUUGGCAGAGCGAGGUGUUGUAAUAAUAAUCGUUACCGGGCAGAGAUUGUGGCUGCAGCUGCAGCAGGUUUUUUUUUUUUUUUUUUUUGGUGUGUGUGUGUCUCUUCUAAUUGGAAUAAAUCUCAUUUCUGCAGUAUCGCCUCAGAAAGCAAAAAAAAAAACGAGUUCUCCUCAGCCCGCUGAUGAUCCCCGACUCCCUGCACUGUGCUCAGUCCAACCCAGUGGGAGUUUUGUUUUUUUGUACAGGGAUUUAAAUAAAUGAGUUUGAAUUGCAUGUUUUUUUUUAUGUCACAUGCUCUUAAAAGCUCAUUUAUCCAAGUGAUUUUUGUUUUUUUCAAUAAGUGACAUGUAUUUUCUCACAUUGUUUUAUUUUUGCCAUCCUUGUGUCUGCCUUCUGUUUAUUCUCUUCAUUAUUAUUGAAUGUAUAUAAUAAAUAAACUGUUUGGUUUUUAA
RNA transcript from Larimichthys crocea (large yellow croaker), 5876 nucleotides. It is a transcript of the gene named RNA binding protein fox-1 homolog 2, with no coding region annotated. Lineage: Eukaryota; Metazoa; Chordata; Actinopteri; Sciaenidae. The transcript is spliced from 12 exons. The record is from RefSeq and is a predicted model, not a curated record.